CCUCCAGUCGGAGGAGACAAGACCAGCUGAGGAUCCGGCGAGAGUUACGAGCCUGAGUAAAACCUUGGUCUUGGAUGUCCAGCUUACAGACACAGAUGAAGGGAGUACCACAUUUGAACCACCUCUGAGAGUCUUUGUUGAGAAAGCCCAGGAAAGCAACGGAGUCUGUUUGCUCUCCUUCCGAAGGGCUGGGUUACAGGCUCACCUUCACAGCGAGGGACAGUAGAGCUCCAGACCACAUUCCCAUCUUGCAGGAUGCAGGUGAUGGACUCAGAACCCUGGGUCUUCACAAAGCCAUCAUCACAAUGGAAGGACACAGAGCUUCCCAGCAGAAACCUGUCUCCAAAACGCCGUCCAUUCACAGGAAUCCCAGGGUCAUGGCACUCAUUCUGACCAAACGCUGAAGCAUGAGACAGAAAAGUCAGUAAAAUAAAGAUGUUUAAAUACUAAUUACAUGUCCUGGAAAAGGAAACGUCAUAUUUACAAAACAACGAUGUAACAAAAUUCCACAUCUAUUGUUCAUAGAUAAAUCUAUCAAACCAAUUGGAUAUCAGUGUAAGAGAGGAGAGGAAGAGGGACAUGUAAAGUGAUGAAGCCCUGUGCCUGUCAUCUCCAUAGCAUGUUGCUAGUAGAACGGGAAGAACACAGCACAGGUGGAAAACAGGGAGUCCAGGAGAACUCUGACCUGUUAGAACUCUGCUUUUAGCCUAGCCAUGUGAUGUAAGGCAUAAGAGAAAUCUUAUGAUCUAGACUUGUCUAUUUUUGUUUAAAACAUGAAAAAUAUUAAGCUUAUAUCCCACAGUUACUGUAACACUGUUUAAAAUAAAUAUGGCUAAAUUCUAAACAACGAAUA
This is a long non-coding RNA of Peromyscus leucopus (white-footed mouse), 853 nucleotides long. RefSeq lists it as uncharacterized. The record is from RefSeq and is a predicted model, not a curated record. NCBI's taxonomy places the organism in Eukaryota, Metazoa, Chordata, Mammalia, Rodentia, Cricetidae. The transcript is spliced from 2 exons.